GUGAAGUCGGAAUCGCUAGUAAUCGUGAAUCAGAACGUCACGGUGAAUACGUUCCCGGGCCUUGUACACACCGCCCGUCACACCAUGGGAGUGGGUUGCUCCAGAAGUAGCUAGUCUAACCUUCGGGGGGACGGUUACCACGGAGUGAUUCAUGACUGGGGUGAAGUCGUAACAAGGUAGCCGUAGGGGAACCUGCGGCUGGAUCACCUCCUUAAUCGAAGAU
This 223-nucleotide ribosomal RNA is filed under the name Pseudomonas oryzihabitans. Its description in RNAcentral is "partial 16S ribosomal RNA". It matches the Rfam family "Bacterial small subunit ribosomal RNA", at positions 1320 to 1533 of the family's 1533-position model. The record is from RNAcentral. Lineage: Bacteria; Pseudomonadati; Pseudomonadota; Gammaproteobacteria; Pseudomonadales; Pseudomonadaceae.